Propithecus coquereli (Coquerel's sifaka) is the source of this 1615-nucleotide long non-coding RNA. RefSeq lists it as uncharacterized. The transcript has 2 exons. The record is from RefSeq and is a predicted model, not a curated record. Lineage: Eukaryota; Metazoa; Chordata; Mammalia; Primates; Indriidae.
UGGUUCUGUGUUCCUGCCGUAAUUAGGAGGCCACACAGCUCUCCAACACUCCUUUAAACAAAUAUCUCUUCCUUAGGAAGAAGAGAGAGGAGCAAAGAAUAUACAUCUCGCCACCCACCGGACAAGCCAGGCGAACCUGUGUCUUUGCUUGAAAAGUUUUCUAAAUAAAUUACUUUGGUGACGCUAAGCUACGAUGAACAUAGGCUGGGCCCGGCUCUUCUCCACAACAUUGUGCGGAUGUGAAGGAUGUGGAAUCUCCUCCCCCACCGCUUUCUUUUUCUUCCCCAUAUAAAUCAGUCAUAUAAAUCAUUCGCAUUGUUUAAGCUACAUUGAUCAAUCUAAUGGCUUGUAAUAGGCUCCUAAUUGCCACUUGCAGAAUCCUGCAGGCUCACGUUUGAACAGGGAAGGCCCUCAAUGCUAGCCAAGUCCACCUUAGGCUUACGACUGCGCGGUUGCAGAACCCAGAAAGAGCGCCAUGAUGGCCCUGGCACUCCAGUCUCAGUGCCUCCGGGAGGGAGGGGAGGAGGUGUUACUGUGGAUAUUUGCUUUUCUUUUCUUUUUUCUCAAAUCUCCCUUCCAAAUCAGCAAUUCAUUAAUGAGCAAAGCCCAGCUGCAAUUUAUGGAUUAUUGUGGGCUGAUUAUUUUGUUAAUAUCAGACAAGAAACUUUCCUUGUUUGCAUCCCCCAUGUCUGUAUUUACAGUAAAAACUUCGUAAGUCCACAAACUGAUAUGCUUUUAGUCAUAUCUUCUCUUUUUAUUUACUAAGUUUUAACAGGGCAACAUCAGGAGUUGUGAUAGGAAAUAAUAUGAGGGGAGGGGUGGAAUGUUAAAGGGAAGGAAGGAAAAUCCAAAAUUUGUCCAGUAGAGUCCUGGAGCUGUGCCCACAGUCCUGUUUAACAUCUAGUGGUUGUAGUGCCUUCUCCAAGCCCUGGAUGGAGGAGGAAGGAAAGAGUUGGAGGCCUCCUCAAAAGCUGCCUGUGAAAGGGUAAAACUGAGGUACCCUGGGGGAAGCUGUCUCUAGUGACCAGGAUCCUCUGGCCUCUGGCUUUUCUUGAUACCAGUUCAGGGUCUAUGUGAAAGGUUGCUUUAAUGUCUCCAAAGAUGGUUCCAUUAGAGUUGGCUGAGACAACAAAUGUUGCAUUUCAGUAGAGAUGCUCUUAAAAACAAGAAAGCCAACAGAGAAUACCACAUUUGCUUAGGUCUAAAGACCCUUCUGCAGUGGCUGGUAAGGGAGGAAGGAAGGUAAAACCCCAAGCCAAAUAGGCCCCCUAUAGUUUCCGAGUGAUGCAGUAAACAAAUCUAUGAUGCUUGUUGAAUAAUCUUCCAAUAAUUGCAGUCAUUAAAAUCAUCACACAGUCUACAGUCACCUUCCUUCCUUUGACACACCAGAAUCUUUCCUUUAAUUGUUAAUGCAUUUUUGGCUCAGAUAAACAGAUGGAGCCAAGCUUAAAAUAUAUGGCCCAGAUACAUCUAUCAGCAGAAAAUUAGUUGUGUAGCAAACGUUUUUACUGUACUUAAUAGAGUAGGGGUUUUCAAUUUCUACAGCAGACCCUACAGAGGCAAGAAAGAUUUGCAUCUUCUACCACCUCUAAAUAGCAGUGGCACAUCUGAGAUA